This 86-nucleotide small nucleolar RNA is filed under the name Eurypyga helias (sunbittern). RNAcentral describes it as "Small nucleolar RNA SNORD127". It matches the Rfam family "Small nucleolar RNA SNORD127". The record is from Rfam by way of RNAcentral. Lineage: Eukaryota; Metazoa; Chordata; Aves; Eurypygiformes; Eurypygidae.
CGGCAACGAUGAUGACAGGAAUUGUGGCUGCGUGCGGCGUCCCGUCGCCGCGUGGAGACACCAGUCCCUCUAAGCUGACGUUGCCC